Long non-coding RNA from Triticum aestivum (bread wheat), 1197 nucleotides. RefSeq lists it as uncharacterized. Lineage: Eukaryota; Viridiplantae; Streptophyta; Magnoliopsida; Poales; Poaceae. The transcript has 3 exons. The record is from RefSeq and is a predicted model, not a curated record.
AAGUAGGCCCCAACCGCCGCGCCGGUCUCUAUGAAGAGCUCGCGCCACCGGAUCUGCGGCCUGCGCUGUCCCCAUUCCUAGAUUCCGUGGAGUUCGCUCGCCAUCCCGUGCCUGCACACCCAAGCCGCUGUGCACCCCUCCGCAGGCCACCGCUUUGCCCCGCCGUGCAUCCCAGUUUUAAGUUCUUUCCCAGCCGGGGCUCGGAGUUGGAUGGUCAAGAAAGGAGGACAUGGAGCAAGGCGUUCUUGGUGGCCGCGCACACGGGGCAGGCGUUCACGGCGGGUUCGCACGCGCCGCACAGGGACAGGUGCCGGUAAUGGAGCAGCAGAACGCAGGCGUCCCACGGUGGCGUCCGCGCCAUCAAGCUCCAGCACCAAGCCAAGCCACGUCUGGCCCUCUGUCGUCAUCUGCACGCAUGCCAUGGCAUCCGCGCCCUCAAGCUCCAGCACCAGCCCCGCCUUCCUACGCCGCGCCGCCGCCCGCGUUCCUCUGCUCCGACCGCGCCCGACGCCCGUGCCGGCGACCACUUCGGCCCUUGCCACGCCGGCGACCACCAAGAACCCCGCCACCUCCUGGCCUCCGCUUGCGACGGAGGCCCGCGGGUGUGGGAGCCGUCAACGGCCGCGACCUCGAGUGUCUCCAGCGGGAUAGGCGGUGGCAGUACGCUGCGGCGGGGCUGGGGCCACUCGCGGCAGGGGGUGGCGGCGCGCUUGAGGUGGAGAUGCGAUUGGGAGUGUUUUUUUCUAUCGCUAGUAACUGUUCGGGUUGACCUUGGACUGCGGGUUGAUUCGUAUAAACUUCAAGGGCUUUUAUGCAAAACAACCAUGACGGACGACAGAAACCCAAUUCUCUUUAUUAUUAGGUUGAAGACACGAGUUGGGGGUUCAACCUUUGUCCUCUCGAUGAAGAAGAUGGCAGUCAGUGAUGAUGGGCCUAGUGACCUAGGAACCAUUUUGUCUCUUUUUUUUCCCUAUUUUCAUGUAGUGAUUUCAUGAUUGUGUGAUUUUUGUGAUUUUCAUUGAGUGGUGUUGUUUAUCUUAGUUGAAACUCUAUCUCUAACAUGCAAUUCAGCCGUCCUUUGCGUCCCAAUUGCAAGUACAUUCCUUGAUUCGCAAUUGGGCCUGAUUCAUUUAUUGUCCUAGUUGCAAGCGCACCGUCUCGACAUGCAAUAAGGGGUCUGACCCUUUUUGUCCCAGU